ACUUGAAGCUAAACAACAAAAAGCUUGCUGCGUUCUGGUUGGUAAAAGCCAAGGGUUAUCCAGCACACACAGAAGAAGAUAAACAGUGUGGCCUACCAACAGGCAAUGGAUGCUACAACACAAAGUGGAUUGGUAUGGAAUCCAGGGUUUUGCUCAUGCUAUGCCAUGGAAAAGGCACUGCGUUAAGUAUUUGAUGGUGACAUUACAGCACAUAACUCUGCUGCAAUUAAACACCCUGAAUCUAGUCCUGCUGGGGUAUGAAGUCUGCACGUUUAUGAGUCAGCCCCACUAACAGCUUCAGUGACAGUCCAUGGGGACACUAAGACAUCCUCUUGCCUUGCCACCUGAGUUGCUGGGAUUGCAAGCACACAAGCAAACUGAGCUUCCAUUCUCCAUGUGUGUAAGAGACUUCCUGAGCCUCGGCGCCGUUGUGAGAUCUGCGAUGUGUUUGUGGUGCUACAGAAGGGAGGCUUAUGUUGACAGGAUAGAUAGUAUGUGAGCUUGCUACUGCAGGAAACAAGAGUUUCUACACUUCCCAGGACGGUGGAAGAAGC
This 554-nucleotide long non-coding RNA is filed under the name Mus musculus (house mouse). RNAcentral describes it as "predicted gene 12353". Lineage: Eukaryota; Metazoa; Chordata; Mammalia; Rodentia; Muridae. The record is from RNAcentral.